UCCGUUGUGGUGUAGUGGCUAGCAUUUGAGACUCUCACAUCCAGUCCAAAAGACUGGAAUGGGAACUCUCAGAACCCGGGUUCAAUUCCCGGCGACGGAA
Non-coding RNA from Kalaharituber pfeilii, 100 nucleotides. The record is from the annotation of a GenBank genome assembly. NCBI's taxonomy places the organism in Eukaryota, Fungi, Ascomycota, Pezizomycetes, Pezizales, Pezizaceae.